RNAcentral lists this ribosomal RNA (591 nucleotides) under Streptomyces sp. Its description in RNAcentral is "bacterial SSU rRNA". It matches the Rfam family "Bacterial small subunit ribosomal RNA", at positions 273 to 873 of the family's 1533-position model. The record is from RNAcentral. Lineage: Bacteria; Bacillati; Actinomycetota; Actinomycetes; Kitasatosporales; Streptomycetaceae.
GCGAGACGGGUAGCCGGCCUGAGAGGGCGACCGGCCACACUGGGACUGAGACACGGCCCAGACUCCUACGGGAGGCAGCAGUGGGGAAUAUUGCACAAUGGGCGAAAGCCUGAUGCAGCGACGCCGCGUGAGGGAUGACGGCCUUCGGGUUGUAAACCUCUUUCAGCAGGGAAGAAGCGCAAGUGACGGUACCUGCAGAAGAAGCGCCGGCUAACUACGUGCCAGCAGCCGCGGUAAUACGUAGGGCGCAAGCGUUGUCCGGAAUUAUUGGGCGUAAAGAGCUCGUAGGCGGCUUGUCACGUCGGAUGUGAAAGCCCGGGGCUUAACCCCGGGUCUGCAUUCGAUACGGGCUAGCUAGAGUGUGGUAGGGGAGAUCGGAAUUCCUGGUGUAGCGGUGAAAUGCGCAGAUAUCAGGAGGAACACCGGUGGCGAAGGCGGAUCUCUGGGCCAUUACUGACGCUGAGGAGCGAAAGCGUGGGGAGCGAACAGGAUUAGAUACCCUGGUAGUCCACGCCGUAAACGUUGGGAACUAGGUGUUGGCGACAUUCCACGUCGUCGGUGCCGCAGCUAACGCAUUAAGUUCCCCGCCGG